RNAcentral lists this long non-coding RNA (294 nucleotides) under Brassica rapa (field mustard). RNAcentral's name for it is "long non-coding RNA (BRAP_LNC008199)". Lineage: Eukaryota; Viridiplantae; Streptophyta; Magnoliopsida; Brassicales; Brassicaceae. The record is from RNAcentral.
CUAGAGAGAGAAAGUGAAGUAGAAAAAGGAAGUGAAGGAUUUGGAGCUGUUUUGAAGAAGUUAGAGCAUUUUUAAGAGCCAUUGUUCUACCGAAAGUCCGAGAAGAAGAUCCAGAAGUCCGAGGAGGUUCUGUCCAAGUCCUGAUUCGUCCAUACCAGUCCAUUGAAGACAGAGGCAUUGGGUUUUGGCUAGGCUCUCUCCGAUCAACCAGCUGCAAGAACACUGUGAGUUGGUUUGUUUGAGUUCCACUUGGAACUUAGGAUAGAUCGAGUUGCAUAUAGAGUAGUAAUAUCA